UGACAAAAGAAAACAAUGGAUGAAUGAAUGUUGUUGGGGGUUUACAAUCUCAUCUAAUCCGCUCUCUCUUACCUACUCCUCUUGAAUAUUAGUUUGAUUAAUUAAUUGUUAUGCGACUUUCUUAGCCUCCCCUUAACCCGAUCCCUCGGCGAAAAGAGCCUAAUAUUAACUACUUGCUUGCUAUCCCUAGCUUCUUCUAGCAAUUAAUACCGCAUUAUAAACAGAAGUUAGCGCAAUUG
RNAcentral lists this long non-coding RNA (239 nucleotides) under Vigna radiata. RNAcentral describes it as "long non-coding RNA (VRAD_LNC015804)". The record is from RNAcentral. Lineage: Eukaryota; Viridiplantae; Streptophyta; Magnoliopsida; Fabales; Fabaceae.